Juglans microcarpa x Juglans regia is the source of this 149-nucleotide long non-coding RNA. RefSeq lists it as uncharacterized. The transcript has 3 exons. NCBI's taxonomy places the organism in Eukaryota, Viridiplantae, Streptophyta, Magnoliopsida, Fagales, Juglandaceae. The record is from RefSeq and is a predicted model, not a curated record.
AUUGGGUUGUUUUUAAAACUUGAAUUGUUUUUAGUCCCUCUCUCAAAUCCUCUCCGAAAACUCUCAAACAAUCUGCCAAAUGUGGUUCUAGAACUGUUUCUUGAAUAUUUCCGAUCGUUCAUGGAAUUUUGAUGCUCAAAACUGGAAGA